Molecule: non-coding RNA, 2234 nt
Organism: Ictidomys tridecemlineatus (thirteen-lined ground squirrel)
Lineage: Eukaryota; Metazoa; Chordata; Mammalia; Rodentia; Sciuridae
Source: RefSeq, a predicted model, not a curated record
UCUUUCAUUCCAUCAUCUCUAUUAGUUUGCCAACUGGCACUGACAGGAGUGUAAAACUAUUGCAAAUUGUUACUUCAGCAGUACUCUGCCUGCCAAGAACUGAUCAGCUGCUCCUCUGAAUGCACCUUUCACUCUUUCCUAACUGAAGCAGUCUGAGCCUGCAGUGCUGUUGUGUUAUAAAUCUUUUCCAGCAGCAUUUGAAUUUAGUCACCUGAAUUCCAUCACUUUAAGAUAAACAUGCAUGAAUGUGAUCAUUAUGAAAACAAAUGUGUAGUCUGCAAAUUGGAGGAGGUGUGGGGUACAGCACCAUAGGGUUGCCUCAGCUUAGGAUUCCUUACUUCACAUUUUAGUACCUCAGGAAUCUGUGAGAGACUCAAAACUAAGCAUUCAAGAUCUCAGCAUAAGGGAGUUUUCUUCGUGAAAACCCAUGGGUUUCCUGAAUCAACGCCUGGAUAUGGUUGGACAGCCUGGACUUCAAAGGGCAAUGAGCAAUUUACUUCUGAUUGGAUGAUACCUGUGUAAGAGCUUUCACAGGGUGGAUGGAUGGAUCGGUAGACAGACAGACUGCCCAGUUUAAGAGAUGUCUUCCACAGGUGUAAGACACCUGAAUACUGACCUACCAUAGGAGUGAGCAUCUCCUCUGCUACUCAAGACAGAAGGCAAGAACAAAAUGUGAGCAAAGAGCUGAAUUUUCCAAUGAUCAGUACUGAAGGGAAAACAAAUAAAGGGGACCUGUGCUCAUGUCAGAACCAUGGCCAGGAAGGCAAGUGAAUGGACAGGUGCUUGAUACACAUGCUAUGUUUAGGACCUGGGAUGAAAGAAGGUUAGAAGGAUUUAUGGGGCUUGCUAACACUGUGAUGGACUCUGAGCACAUGGAGGAGAGAUGGGAAAGAAGGCAACAGCUGGUAAUGUUAUAGCCAACAGACUUGCUAACCCUUUCAGUAGACACAUGACAGUCAAAAUUGAAAUGGACAGCUAAACCCAUGUGUGGGUCCUGAGAUUCUUUGCCACUGACUAUCUUUUAAUCUCUCUUUUCACCCCCAAUUAAAAUACUUCAAGUGUAGAUUAUUUGGGUCCACAUUUUCUUCUGCCCCAUCCUUAAAAAUUUCUCUAUUUGGCCUUCUCAUGCACUUCUGCAGAAUACUCAAAAGAAGAGUCAGUGGACCUGGAGUGGGGAGUGGGAAGUAUUUAUUAUCUCUGUCAAGUGCUAUUACACAAUGCUGAUAUGCAUCUUAAAAUAUCGAAUAAACUGAUAAAGUGUUCAUAUGUCGUUUCUGAGACAUGUAGUCAGCCAAAUAUGAACAGUUCUAAAACAAGAGCUGCCAAGUUCCAUGCACAAGCCAAGGGGAGAUUUGUACAGAGCUGAAAAGAGCUUAACUGUAGAUUAUCACCCCAAUGCUCUGGGCCUUUAGUACCAUGACUUGCACUCAUAACAUGAAUAACACAAGAAGGGGGCAUGUCUAAAUCAUUUGCAUUCAAGAGUGGGGGUCAAGUGCUAGGUCUUCCUAUUUCCCUUUCUUGGUGUAUACCUUAUUUAUAUUACUCAAAACUUAAAUAUUUAACAAGAUUAUAGUUUAGUUUCUUCUUUUGAAAUUGUUAAUUGGGAUAAUUGGGGAAUUAACAAAGUUAUGCUCUUAAAAUAGGGAAUAUUUUGGAAAUCUCAUUAUAAUAAGAAAUAUAAAUUAUUUGGCUUUUAUGACAUGUAUUUUAACUAGCAGUCACAAUCUAACAUUAACACCAAAACAGGGAAUUUCUAGAGUUAGGGGGAAAAAAAAGAAAAACAAGAUAAGAGCAUGAAAAUAUGCUAAACCCUACUUUAAAAUAUACAAAAUUAUUGGAAAUAGUUUUGAUUAUUAAUGAUGAUAUUGCUCAGUUUUAGGUGAAGGGACAAAUUCAGAUGGUUAGUGACUUGCUAAAGUCUACCUUGUUGGAUGGUAAAAAAAAAAAAAAAAAGAAAAAUACCAAGAUUCAAACCCAGAUGGUUAGGUCCAUAAAUGUAUGUGUUGGGCAAACUUCCUCACAGAAAAAAAAGUGAUUCUAUUUUGCCUAAGAUGUUUUUAAAAUCUCAAGUUUAUUUUCUAAAUAUGUGUUUUUCAAUAGAAUGAUUUUGUUCCAAAUUUCUUCAUCAUUUAUGAUAUCAGCGAUCUACCACACCAGCAGAUUCAAUAACUUGGUAUAAUGGAAUAUAUGGAAUUCAUUUCUGCUACAAAGGAAUAAAAAUUAUGUUAAAAGUA